This 1535-nucleotide ribosomal RNA is filed under the name metagenome. RNAcentral describes it as "bacterial SSU rRNA". It matches the Rfam family "Bacterial small subunit ribosomal RNA". The record is from RNAcentral.
AGAGUUUGAUUCUGGCUCAGAACGAACGCUGGCAGCGUGGAUUAGGCAUGCAAGUCGAACGUGAAGCCGAUGACCAAUCUUUCGGGAAAGUGAUUCGGUGGAAAGUGGCGAAAGGGUGAGUAACGCGUGGGUAAGCUAUCUUCAAGUUCGGGACAACCCGCCGAAGGGCGAGCUAAUACCGAAUGUGGUCUUUGGAUCAUAUCCGGAUGAUUAAAGGUGGGGCUCCUUUUGGACCUGCCGCUUUUAGAGGUGCCCGCGUGCCAUCAGCUUGUUGGUAGGGUAACGGCCUACCAAGGCUUACGGCUAGCCGGCCUGAGAGGGUGACCGGCCACACUGGGACUGAGACACUGCCCAGACUCCUACGGGAGGCUGCAGUCGAGGAUCAUUCGCAAUGCGCGAAAGCGUGACGAUGCGACGCUGCGUGGAGGAUGAAGGCCUUCGGGUCGUAAACUCCUGUCAUGAGGGAACAGCCAUUUCGCCCCUAAUACGGGUGGGAUCCGAUGGUACCUCAAGAGGAAGCCACGGCUAACUCUGUGCCAGCAGCCGCGGUAAUACAGAGGUGGCGAGCGUUGUUCGGAUUUACUGGGCGUAAAGGGUGCGUAGGUGGUUUUGUAUGUCGGAUGUGAAAGCCCAUGGCUCAACCGUGGAAUUGCAUUCGAAACUGCGGAACUAGAGUGCAGGAUGGGAGAGCGGAAUUCUUGGUGUAGCGGUGAAAUGCGUUGAUAUCAAGAAGAACACCGGUGGCGAAGGCGGCUCUCUGGAAUGUCACUGACACUGAGGCACGAAAGCUGGGGGAGCAAACAGGAUUAGAUACCCUGGUAGUCCCAGCCGUAAACGGUGCACACUUGGUGUGGGGAGAUUUAACCCUCUCCGUGCCGGAGCUAACGCGUUAAGUGUGCCGCCUGGGGAGUACGGCCGCAAGGCUAAAACUCAAAGAAAUUGACGGGGGCCCGCACAAGCGGAGGGGCAUGUGGCUUAAUUCGAUGCAACGCGAAGAACCUUACCAGGGCUUGACAUAUACCUGCACGCCCCUCGAAAGGGGGGAAGCCUUCGAGGGUGGUAUACAGGUGCUGCAUGGCUGUCGUCAGUUCGUGCUGUGAGGCGUUGGGUUAAGUCCCGUAACGAACGCAACCCUUGUGGUUAGUUGCCACCGGCGGUGAUGAGCCGCCGAGCACUCUAGCCAGACUGCCCGUACAAGCGGGAGGAAGGUGGGGAUGACGUCAAGUCAGUAUGGCCCUUACGCCCUGGGCUGCACACGUGCUACAAUGGGCGGUACAAUGGGAAGCAAUACCGCGAGGUGGAGCAAAUCCCCAAAGCCGCCCCCAGUUCGGAUUGAAGUCUGCAACUCGACUUCAUGAAGUUGGAUUCGCUAGUAACGGCGCAUCAGCUACGGCGCCGUGAAUACGUUCCCGGGCCUUGUACACACCGCCCGUCACAUCAUGAAAGCCGUCUGCACCCGAAGUCGCUGAUCCAACCCGCAAGGGAGGAAGGUGCCGAAGGUGUGGGUGGUGAUUGGGAUGAAGUCGAACAAGGUA